Molecule: long non-coding RNA, 430 nt
Filed under: Sorghum bicolor (sorghum)
Lineage: Eukaryota; Viridiplantae; Streptophyta; Magnoliopsida; Poales; Poaceae
Description: long non-coding RNA (SBIC_LNC008585)
Source: RNAcentral
CUGUUCGGUCGAGGGUCGGACGCCGUGUAAUGUGCUGAUAUCUGGAGCGCUGACCUUGGAGGUCUCGAGGGGGUCCCGAUUAGACGUUCCAUCCUUGUUUCCUGCGUCCUGACACGCCCUAGGUCGUUCGGUGGGAAGGCUGCAAAAAGAACGAUGGGACAGAAGCCUGUUCCCUAUCACGCCUUCCGUGACCCGUGUGUUAGGUGGGGAAGCGUCAGGUGCAUUAAAUGCCCUGGCUCUCGUGCGCGCGUCAGGCGGCGGACAGUGUCCUUUCGCUCGACGCCUCUCGGUUCGCUCGAGCCCGCUUCCGUAUUCGACGGCGGUUGUCGCUCGAGCCCUGAUCGAUUCGCUCGACGCUACUUCCGUCUUCGAGGCUGCGGCCGUCGAUGGCCGCGCGUGUGUACGGAUGAUCUCGUUAUACGCAUUGGUG